Molecule: long non-coding RNA, 2408 nt
Organism: Brassica napus (rape)
Lineage: Eukaryota; Viridiplantae; Streptophyta; Magnoliopsida; Brassicales; Brassicaceae
Exons: 5
Source: RefSeq, a predicted model, not a curated record
UUUACAUUAUUUGGGCUUCAUAUUUUGUUAUUUAUGUUUUCUGAAAAAUAAGAGCCCAGCCCGAAUGAAAGGUAAACAACUGAUUUUUCACGACCUUUGGAUUCAUCGUCUUUCUCGAUCUGACUUCCUCAUAUAGGAUUCACCUAUUCAUUAUCAGACGAAUCCAUCUACGCUACAACCUUCGCCAUUAAUAGAGUUUCAUGAAGUUAGGUGAGACGAAUCUUCGUGAAGAAUCUUUAGGUCAGAUUUUUGUUCGCGUCCGUUCGUCUGACAAUAUUCUACUCCAAAACGUUACAGAUUCAAUGAUUCAUCGACAUUAAGAACCAUCAUUACUCCUCCUCUAGGUGGUGUAUAUCACCUAUAAAAAGUUCAGUACUCAUCUCAUGAGCAUCAUCCUCUCAAUUUCUAAAAACAUUAGAAACUUAUUUUCCAAUUUCAAGUUCGACUUCGAAACGAGACGUCUACACGAAUAUUUAGACACAAAAUCUGAAACUGAGGAAGAUGAAGAUGAAGAAUUGAGACUUUCCCAAAAUUAAGUGAAUUGACAGAGCAAGCAAAGGAGAUCGACGGAGAGCAACGGAGCACUCGGCGGAGAACGACGGAAAAAGUAGCGGAGAAUGUGACGAGAGAUAGCAAAGGUAAUUGUUACAGUUCUAUCUGGCACAAGGGAGGUUGAUCGGCUCUCAGACAGGAAAACAGAUUCUGCUUGAAGUUCAGACAUUGGGAAGGUCUGCCUCAGGCUUUGUUGGGAAGCUGCAAUGAUCGUGCAAGGCAUAUUAACGCUUCAUCUACAGGUCUUUCCCCAAAUUUCAAGAUUUUAUCUCGCUCACACUUCAUUUUUUAUCAUUCAUAUGUUUUUUGUUUAUAAGAAAAGGGGAAUGUAGGACUGUGUUAAAGUUGAUUUUAUUUUGUAAGAAUUAGAUUGUUUCUUCCGAAGUAUUUGUAAAUGGAUGAAUGAAACUUGCGGUCGAGAAGUCUGACAUGACUGCAUAGCUUCUCAUGACGCAUUUACUCAAAUUUGAUGGCAUCAAGACAUAAAGGAAAUAGUACAAAGAAAGCAGAGUUUAGUUUCUCAUCUCUUGCAUUCUUCUUCCAUCUGCAUUAUAUACUAUAUUUACACUAUAAGAACGUCAGCAGUAGUGGUGAACAACAUGAAUCAGGUAACUAUGACUAAUGAGUUAUGAGACUUUUGGAUGAGUUGCAGUGAACUGGAUUUUGACUAUGGUAAGUAUAUCUUUGGAUUCCUUUUAUAGUUUUUGUUCAAAUAAUUUUUUAUUGUAGAGUCUUUUUUUUUUAUUGUAGAAUCUUUGAUUAUGAUACACUCGGAUUUGAGACAGAACAAACAUCCCGAGUGAGACAGAAAAUGUUACGAGAAAACGGUAAUGGAGGCAUCUAAAUUACUAUGGGUUGCAACACACUGGUGAUAGAGAGGAAUCACGAGAAGGAGAAGAUGAAGCAAGAGAUAGAGAGAAAAGAAGAGGAAAUAAAGAAGCUUGGAGAGAAAGUUAGAGAAGAUGAAAAGGAGAAGGAGAGGAACUCCUUCUGCAUAAGCCAUUGGAAGGUUGGGAAUAGUAAAGCUCAAAGGUACCUGAGGAACAUGUGGAAGAAGAAGCCUAUUCCUUUCUCACAUGAGUUUCCACGUGCUGAACCCCUUUCUCUUCACCUACCAGAAAAUAUUGUCUUCUAACCCCAAUGACCUCCUUACAGCUGAAAGGUGUUUCACACAUUUCAUUUAUUACAUUCGUUAUGAUGUAAGUGGGUUGUGUUUGAAAUGAGAAAUGCAGAAAACUGAAAACUCUAUGCAUGCUACUUACUAAGGUUUUUAAUGGUUUGGAGUGAUAGAUUACCACAGUUCUUCGAAGGGGAUCAAAGAGUUGGGCUGAGAAGAGAGGAAACAAUAUCUAGCGAGAAUGUUGGAGGCUCACACAAGCCAGAUAUGUGCAAGGAUUACAAAGAUACUGGAUACUGCGGAUUAGCCUCACAUGACCGUGGGUGUUACAAAGUGGGAUGAACAUAGAGAAAGAGUGGGAAGAUAAAUACAGCUAUAGGAGUUUAAGAUGAGAAUUAUGACAGUACUGACAUCAACAUCAACAUGGACAAAGAUACAUAGCCCUUUUAUCUGCUUCAUAUGCAGAGAGCCUUUUGUGGAUCCAGUUGUCACCAUGGAAGCAUUACUUAUGUGUGUUUCUUUAUGGUUUAGUUAAGAGAGCCCCCUGCUUUCUGCUCAACGUUUUUAAUAUAUAUACAAACGAUUUAUAUAUAAAAAUAAAAAGCACAUGUUCCCUCAAAUUUUCAAGACUCGGGAAGAAAAGCACAAAACUAAGUAAUUAUUUUAAUUAUCAGUUUUUUAUAUAUGUUUUACUUAUUCAUAGAUAAAUUUUUAUUAUUUUUGUUAUUUUCUCAUAGAC